This is a non-coding RNA of Rhypophila decipiens, 98 nucleotides long. The record is from the annotation of a GenBank genome assembly. NCBI's taxonomy places the organism in Eukaryota, Fungi, Ascomycota, Sordariomycetes, Sordariales, Naviculisporaceae.
GGCGUGGUGGCAGAGUGGUCUAAUGCGCAAGACUUGAAUCAAUCUUGAUCAGCGAUCUUGUCUCUUCGGAGGCGUCCGUUCGAACCGGGCCCACGUCG